This 253-nucleotide ribosomal RNA is filed under the name uncultured bacterium. RNAcentral's name for it is "partial 16S ribosomal RNA". It matches the Rfam family "Bacterial small subunit ribosomal RNA", at positions 524 to 776 of the family's 1533-position model. The record is from RNAcentral.
GACGUAGGGGGCGAGCGUUGUCCGGAUUUAUUGGGCGUAAAGCGUGCGUAGGCGGCUGCGCAAGUCGGGUGUGAAACCCCGGGGCUCAACCCCGGAACUGCAUCCGAUACUGCGUGGCUAGAGGUAGGUAGGGGAGAUCGGAAUUCCUGGUGUAGCGGUGAAAUUCGUAGAUAUCAGGAGGAACACCGGUGGCGAAAGCGGCUUCCUGGCCCGACACUGACGCUCAUGUACGAAAGCGUGGGGAGCAAACAGG